AUUUAAAAUUUUAAUUAUAAUUUAUGCUCUUGCUUUCUGUGAGCUAAGAAAAAUUCUUGCAAAUAAAACUGUGUCUUCUUGUGUCUGUGUUUUGAAGUUGUCAUGUGAAAGAAAUAGGUUUAUUAAUUUGUAGACUUUUGCUGAAGCUUCUCCUUCACUCUAUUUACAAUCUGUAAUCUCUGAUUUCUUUACAUCCUACAAAUACAUUGAAAUUAGAAGGCCUUUUGCAUGACCCUGAUUAUUGACAACACAAAAACACCAAAUAACUUUACCAUUCCAUAUGUCAUGAUGCAUGGACUAUUAUUCUAGGACUCUAAAAAUCAAGUUAAAACUAGUCAAUCUCUAACAGGUUUUGAGUAGCGAUGUUAAAGACUGCAGGGGGUUGCUUUUAUUUUCCCCCCAUAUAAUUUCUAAUAAUUAGACAUGCUUAGUUUGGUUUGGUCUUCAUAAAAGUUAUUAACUGCUAUUGUCUUACUCCUUCAG
Molecule: unclassified non-coding RNA, 483 nt
Filed under: Hevea brasiliensis (rubber tree)
Lineage: Eukaryota; Viridiplantae; Streptophyta; Magnoliopsida; Malpighiales; Euphorbiaceae
Source: RNAcentral